AGCCAUAUUGGUUGGAUUGGGAAACUCAUCAAUUAAAUCCAAACUACCGAGACGAGCUUCAUUUCUCAAUGGCGGGCCACAACCUCUCGGGGUGCAGCAAUGCCGGUGGAUUACAAAGAGAGAAGAGCACUCAAAUCAUGUCAUACGGAGUUUUAUCACAUCGCCAAUAUGGUUUUUC
Molecule: small RNA, 178 nt
Filed under: chicken gut metagenome
Description: Bacteroidales-1 6S-Bacteroidales RNA suggested
Rfam family: Bacteroidales-1 6S-Bacteroidales RNA suggested
Source: RNAcentral